RNAcentral lists this long non-coding RNA (595 nucleotides) under Salvia miltiorrhiza (redroot sage). RNAcentral describes it as "long non-coding RNA (SMIL_LNC006160)". Lineage: Eukaryota; Viridiplantae; Streptophyta; Magnoliopsida; Lamiales; Lamiaceae. The record is from RNAcentral.
ACCUCAAGUGACUCUGCAACUUGCCAAACAGGUUAGUCUUAUUACUUUGCAAUAUUAUGUUUCAAUGUUUUUGUUUUAGUCACAGUGUUUGAGAUUGUCCAUCUAUCGAUUUUCAGGCAAAUGAAAGAGACGAUCGAGAGUUGCUUCCCCUGCCGCAGGUGAGUUUCUGCUGUAUGUAGAUUACCGGUAACUUGUUUAACAAACGUCGAGGCCUUUGUAUUACGAGCUGCUGUUUUUGAAGAUCUCUUCGCAAGAUUCUUAAGGAGAUGCAGAAAGAAGCAAACGAAUCGAGCUGAGUCAAGUCGAGUAGAUUCCUCAAGCUCACCGUCAUCUCGGACUAGAAGUGUUAAAAGUAAUCUAAACUAUAGAAGAUGAAAAUUCAGAUUUGAGAGAAGACAAGAGAGAAGAGUGCGAGAGAAUAUUUUCUGUAUUCAAGUUCAUAAACUGAGAGGAGUAACCCAAAUUCUUGUUGUGUAGUGAAAAAUAUUAAAACCAACGUUGAUUUGGAAGCAGUUGUGAUCAUUUUCAACGCGCAUAAAGACUUUGAUCAAUUGGUUGAUUGCUUAAUCUUUAUAAUCUCCUUUUGAUGGCCGCG